CCUACGGGAGGCUGCAGUGGGGGAUAUUGCACAAUGGGGGAAACCCUGAUGCAGCGACGCCGCGUGUGGGAAGACGGUCCUCUGGAUUGUAAACCACUGUCCCCAGGGACGAAGAUGACGGUACCUGGGGAGGAAGCUCCGGCUAACUACGUGCCAGAAGCCGCGGUAAUACGUAGGGAGCGAGCGUUGUCCGGAAUUACUGGGUGUAAGGGGAGCGUAGGCGGGUCUGCAAGUUGGGGGUAAAAUCUACCGGCUCAACCGGUAGCCGCACUCAAAACUGCAGUUCUUGAGUGAAGUAGAGGCAGGCGGAAUUCGUAGUGUAGCGGUGAAAUGCGUAGAUAUUAGGAGGAACACCAGUGGCGAAGGCGGCCUGCUGAGCUUUUACUGACGCUGAGGCUCGAAAGUGUGGAGAGCAAACAGGAUUAGAUACCCUAGUAGUC
Molecule: ribosomal RNA, 440 nt
Filed under: uncultured bacterium
Lineage: Bacteria
Description: partial 16S ribosomal RNA
Rfam family: Bacterial small subunit ribosomal RNA
Source: RNAcentral